This 590-nucleotide unclassified non-coding RNA is filed under the name Moraxella sp. RNAcentral describes it as "partial 16S-23S ribosomal RNA intergenic spacer". The stretch from base 149 to 221 matches the Rfam family "tRNA". The record is from RNAcentral. Lineage: Bacteria; Pseudomonadati; Pseudomonadota; Gammaproteobacteria; Moraxellales; Moraxellaceae.
CUCCUUAACGAAUUAUCUGAUUAGCAAGAAUUCACAACAAGUUGUUCUUUGGUAAGACGCUUAAAACGGGUCUAUAGCUCAGUUGGUUAGAGCACCGUGUUGAUAACGCGGGGGUCAUAAGUUCAAGUCUUAUUAGACCCACCAUUUUGGGGUUAUAGCUCAGUUGGUAGAGCGCCUGCCUUGCACGCAGGAGGUCAGGAGUUCGACUCUCCUUAACUCCACCACAUUAAACAUCAAUAAAACAUAACUAAACCUUCUGAUUAAGAAAGUUUAUUUAUGCUUUAUGCAUGACUAAUAUGAACUGACGAAGUUCAUAACACUAUUUAACAACAUGAUUAUGAGUCUGGGUAAUUUAUUUAUUCCAACAAAUAAAUUACCAUUCCAAUCAUACUCCACUCAUAAAGACGCAAGUUGAUAUGAGAGUGAUUGGAUAAAGUAAAGAGAACUGAAUCAAGCGUAAACAUAGGUAAAUCGUUACACAUUACCCUUAUGACACCAAGACUACUUGGGGUUGUAUGGUCAAGUAAUGAAGUGCACAUGGUGGAUGCCUUGGCAGUCAGAGGCGAUGAAAGACGUGAUAGCCUGCGAUA